CAAAUCCAACUUCCAAAUGGCCUAUACUCUGACCACUUAAAGCGUGACUCUCGUAGCAUACUCGUAGCAUACAUUUAGUAUGAUACGAAGGUCGUGCUCAAACU
Aricia agestis (brown argus) is the source of this 104-nucleotide long non-coding RNA. RefSeq lists it as uncharacterized. The transcript is spliced from 3 exons. NCBI's taxonomy places the organism in Eukaryota, Metazoa, Arthropoda, Insecta, Lepidoptera, Lycaenidae. The record is from RefSeq and is a predicted model, not a curated record.